UACGAGGGGGGCGAGCGUUAUUCGGAAUCACUGGGCUUAAAGGGCGCGUAGGCGGGCCGUCAAGUCAGGGGUGAAAGCCCCCAGCUCAACUGGGGAAGUGCCUCUGAUACUGGCGGCCUCGAGGGAGGUAGGGGCGUGCGGAACUUCCGGUGGAGCGGUGAAAUGCGUAGAUAUCGGAAGGAACACCGGUGGCGAAAGCGGCGCGCUGGACCUCUUCUGACGCUGAGGCGCGAAAGCCAGGGGAGCGAACGGG
RNAcentral lists this ribosomal RNA (253 nucleotides) under uncultured bacterium. RNAcentral describes it as "partial 16S ribosomal RNA". It matches the Rfam family "Bacterial small subunit ribosomal RNA", at positions 524 to 776 of the family's 1533-position model. The record is from RNAcentral.